AAAAAGAGAAAAAUUCUUAAUGAAUCAAAAAGAGUUAAGUUGUGGGUUAUCAUUAAAGAGAAAUCAAGAAAUGAUGCUCAAGGCUCAAAGGGGUUCACUAAAGGUUAAUUAUGUGGGUAGGCUUUUUAUGGAGUAAGUAGGUUAAAACCUAAGUGCCUUCAUCUUCUUAGUAUAUCAAGUCAAAGGUGUGGUCUCGACAUGGAUAAUCGAUGCAAGUUCUAGAAUAACAAAUUAGUAUUGACUCAGUCAUAACCAUUAAUAAAAG
Molecule: long non-coding RNA, 265 nt
Filed under: Gossypium barbadense (sea-island cotton)
Lineage: Eukaryota; Viridiplantae; Streptophyta; Magnoliopsida; Malvales; Malvaceae
Description: long non-coding RNA (GBAR_LNC009592)
Source: RNAcentral